CUCGGGAGGCGCGCCGGGGCUCGAGCUUUGCGCAAGGAGCGGUUUAGCCGCAGAGGCCCUGCUUGCUUUCGCCUCUUGCAGGUGGGCGGCGGCGGCGGCGGCGCUCACCAGCGCCCCUCAGGACCGAGCUCCCCCUCGCUGCCUCCCUCGCUUUCACCCACGGAGAGACAGAGAGAGGGAGGCUGCUUGACGGCAAGGGGGCGGCGGGCGCCCAAGGCGCCCCCCCCGGCUAAGCCUGCAGGGCAGGCGGCGCAGGCAGAAGCGGUAGCUGCUCAGAGGAGUCCACUUUUUUUCCCCUUUGACCUCGCCUCCGGGCCGGCCACCGGAGCAGGAGGAGCCCCACUUGCCCACCCUGACGAAGGCGCCCGGUACUAAGUCAUGGAUACAGUUACUAUCACCACAAAAUUGGAAGAUAUGGAAGUCUUCAGGGCUGAUCCUCUACCAACAUCUGGAAAGACAUGACACUGAUUUAGUACAACACGAUUUCUCUGUUGGGGCACCAUUAACCUUUAUUACCAUUGGUGUCUCCCAGUUCCAUUGCACUUUGUUGAAAUGGCAGUCUUCUGCAUACAGAACUUGAGAUUAAAAAGAAGAAGAAGAAAAGAAACCCCCGUACUAUGGAGAGACUGCCAGUGAGGAAAAAGGAGUGUGAAACAGAGGCAUGGAAUAGGGAGAACCAAACAUGGCCAACUUACCAGGGGAGCAGUCCUGGGAUGAGGCCAUUCUCUCCCAAGAAACACCAGGAUCCAGGUCGGAAGGUUUAAGAGGAAAGUGGGAGGUUGGAUGUAUUACUCUGAGUAAUUCAGAAGGAGGAGUUGCUGGGAUUGGUCAAGCUGUUCUCAUCCAGUGCACUCUUACCCCUAGUGGGUGGUUCCCCCCCCCCGUGACAAGGGGAUGUUGGAAUGGUUAAAACGCCAAAGUUACAGCCGGGCAAAUAUGUUAAUACGGUUGGAACAGUUAAAGUUGAGUUGAACCCCUUUUCUCCUAUGUUAAUCACUUCAUGAUUCUGCGGAGAAAGGUGGCCCAAGAGGGGAGGUGGUUGCUAAAGACCCUCGCAGCCAGUCAUACUUCUUUCAGCCUGACCUAUCUCACAGAGAUGUUGUGAAAAUAAAUUAGGCAGGAAAAGAGCUGAUAUGUUACUCGGAGCUCAUUGGAGGAUAACUUAGGAUAUCAGUACAGCUAAUAACCAAUACAUUUAAGAUGAACCUUGUACAGACCAUUUAGAGAGAGAGAAUAAGCAGAUUGUAGGCACUGAUUCCUGCAGCUUGGGAUGUUAGGUCUAAAAAUUAAUUUGUUGAUGUUAACUGCUAAAAAUCAUAGCAUAUAUUUGUUGUUGCUAACAUUUAAACCUGAAAACAUUUAAUCCAUUGAAUUAGCACUAUUAAUUCAUUAAUUAAAAUAAAACAGUGGUGUUUAUAGAUGAUUUUUUUUAUUUAUUAAA
Pogona vitticeps (central bearded dragon) is the source of this 1441-nucleotide non-coding RNA. Lineage: Eukaryota; Metazoa; Chordata; Lepidosauria; Squamata; Agamidae. The record is from RefSeq and is a predicted model, not a curated record.